RNAcentral lists this small nucleolar RNA (65 nucleotides) under Chinchilla lanigera (long-tailed chinchilla). RNAcentral describes it as "Small nucleolar RNA SNORD75 (ENSCLAG00000021374.1)". It matches the Rfam family "Small nucleolar RNA SNORD75". From Rfam's summary of the family: U75 (SNORD75) belongs to the C/D class of snoRNAs which contain the C (UGAUGA) and D (CUGA) box motifs. Most of the members of the box C/D family function in directing site-specific 2'-O-methylation of substrate RNAs. This family includes the mouse orthologue Z19. Lineage: Eukaryota; Metazoa; Chordata; Mammalia; Rodentia; Chinchillidae. The record is from Rfam by way of RNAcentral.
AGCCUGUGAUGGUUUAAUAAGAGUAGUGGACAGAAGGGAUUUCUGAAACGUUUCAUACUGAGGCU